Molecule: ribosomal RNA, 530 nt
Filed under: Brucella intermedia
Lineage: Bacteria; Pseudomonadati; Pseudomonadota; Alphaproteobacteria; Hyphomicrobiales; Brucellaceae
Description: bacterial SSU rRNA
Rfam family: Bacterial small subunit ribosomal RNA
Source: RNAcentral
GAGCCCGAAAGGGGAAAGAUUUAUCGGCAAAUGAUCGGCCCGCGUUGGAUUAGCUAGUUGGUGGGGUAAAGGCCUACCAAGGCGACGAUCCAUAGCUGGUCUGAGAGGAUGAUCAGCCACACUGGGACUGAGACACGGCCCAGACUCCUACGGGAGGCAGCAGUGGGGAAUAUUGGACAAUGGGCGCAAGCCUGAUCCAGCCAUGCCGCGUGAGUGAUGAAGGCCCUAGGGUUGUAAAGCUCUUUCACCGGUGAAGAUAAUGACGGUAACCGGAGAAGAAGCCCCGGCUAACUUCGUGCCAGCAGCCGCGGUAAUACGAAGGGGGCUAGCGUUGUUCGGAUUUACUGGGCGUAAAGCGCACGUAGGCGGGCUAAUAAGUCAGGGGUGAAAUCCCGGGGCUCAACCCCGGAACUGCCUUUGAUACUGUUAGUCUUGAGUAUGGUAGAGGUGAGUGGAAUUCCGAGUGUAGAGGUGAAAUUCGUAGAUAUUCGGAGGAACACCAGUGGCGAAGGCGGCUCACUGGACCAUUA